AGUGGACUCUUAAAAAGAAAGGGUAAAGUGCACAGAGAAGAUAUAGUUGAUUUGAAAAAAAAUUCUAAUAAGAAUGGGUAGAAUUUAUAUAAAUUUUUUAUUAUUAAUUAAGCUUCUUUUUUGAAGAGGAAGAAGAAUGCUAUAAACAUUGGGGGAUGUUGGGGUGGUACUUUUUAAUUAAUUUAUUAAAAAAUCUUUUGUCUCUAGCAUAGUUAGUUAAUUGGGAUUCGGCAAAAAUUCAGUACGGGUAUAAUUCGGAUAAAAUUCGUUUUUUAAUUUUUAAAUUCGUUGAAAAAUACGGCUAAAAAACGGGUUCGGUAAUUAUUCGGAUACGUAAUUUAUAUGGAUAUUAUACGUUCACCAAUUAAAAAUUCGGAAUCAAAAAUUCGGGUAUAUAAUAAAUAUAUAAUAAUUAAUAUACUAUAUAUAUUAUUAUUAUAAUUUAUAUAUAUAGAUUAAAUAUAUUCAUAUAUUAAUAAUAAACAUAUAUUAAUAAUACAUAAAAUUUAUGUAUUUAAAAAUAGUAAUAAAUAAUUACAAAUUUAUAAAUAAAAUAUUAUAUAAAUAUUUCUAUAUAAAAAUAAAAUAAUAUAUAUAUAAUAAAUGAAUAUAUAAUUAAAAAUAAAAAUUAUAUACAUAUAUAUAUAUAUAUAUCAAUACAUAU
This 664-nucleotide long non-coding RNA is filed under the name Ananas comosus (pineapple). Its description in RNAcentral is "long non-coding RNA (ACOM_LNC029419)". The record is from RNAcentral. Lineage: Eukaryota; Viridiplantae; Streptophyta; Magnoliopsida; Poales; Bromeliaceae.